CCGGUGUAGCGGUGAAAUGCGCAGAUAUCGGGAGGAACACCGGUGGCGAAGGCGGUUCUCUGGGCCUGUUCUGACGCUGAGGAGCGAAAGCGUGGGGAGCGAACAGGAUUAGAUACCCUGGUAGUCCACGCCGUAAACGUUGGGCGCUAGGUGUGGGUCCCUUCCACGGGGUCUGUGCCGCAGCUAACGCAUUAAGCGCCCCGCCUGGGGAGUACGGCCGCAAGGCUAAAACUCAAAGGAAUUGACG
Molecule: ribosomal RNA, 247 nt
Filed under: uncultured bacterium
Lineage: Bacteria
Description: partial 16S ribosomal RNA
Rfam family: Bacterial small subunit ribosomal RNA
Source: RNAcentral